CAGGGUGUGACCGAGCAGCUAGGUAGCUCCCUUACACCGAGCCCACGUCCAUGCAAAUUGGACCACCCUGA
Molecule: transfer RNA, 71 nt
Filed under: Chirocentrus dorab (Dorab wolf-herring)
Lineage: Eukaryota; Metazoa; Chordata; Actinopteri; Clupeiformes; Chirocentridae
Description: tRNA-Val
Source: RNAcentral